RNAcentral lists this ribosomal RNA (253 nucleotides) under uncultured bacterium. RNAcentral's name for it is "partial 16S ribosomal RNA". It matches the Rfam family "Bacterial small subunit ribosomal RNA", at positions 524 to 776 of the family's 1533-position model. The record is from RNAcentral.
UACAGAGGGUGCGAGCGUUGUCCGGAAUCACUGGGCGUAAAGGGCGCGUAGGCGGCUUUUCAAGCGUGCGGUGAAAGCUCGGGGCUUAACUCCGAGUCUGCCGUGCGAACUGGGAGGCUUGAGUCUGGUAGAGGUCGAUGGAAUUCCGAGUGUAGCAGUGAAAUGUGUAGAUAUUCGGAAGAACACCAGUGGCGAAGGCAGCAACUUGGCCCCAGAUUGACGCUCAGGCACGAAAGCAUGGGGAUCAAACAGG